AGCUCAGUUGGUAGAGCAAAGAACUGAAAA
This 30-nucleotide transfer RNA is filed under the name Tarlmounia elliptica. RNAcentral describes it as "partial tRNA-Phe". The record is from RNAcentral. Lineage: Eukaryota; Viridiplantae; Streptophyta; Magnoliopsida; Asterales; Asteraceae.